UACGAAGGGGGCUAGCGUUGCUCGGAAUCACUGGGCGUAAAGCGCUCGUAGGCGGAUUGUUAAGUCGGGGGUGAAAUCCUGGAGCUCAACUCCAGAACUGCCUUCGAUACUGGCAAUCUUGAGUCCGGAAGAGGUGAGUGGAACUCCGAGUGUAGAGGUGAAAUUCGUAGAUAUUCGCAAGAACACCAGUGGCGAAGGCGGCUCACUGGCCCGGUACUGACGCUGAGGUGCGAAAGCGUGGGGAGCAAACAGG
This 253-nucleotide ribosomal RNA is filed under the name uncultured bacterium. RNAcentral describes it as "partial 16S ribosomal RNA". It matches the Rfam family "Bacterial small subunit ribosomal RNA", at positions 524 to 776 of the family's 1533-position model. The record is from RNAcentral.